GGGAAGUGCUGGGUCCUGCUUGGGAUGGCUCAUCCUCAGACUUCCUCUCUGCUGGGACCUUCUCAGUCACAUGCCCUGAUAUCCGCCUGAAAAAUCCCUGUUGUCUCUAUGGAUUUUACUUUAUCCUCAUCAUCUACUUUUAUUCUUUCUCAUAGGACAAAGAUAAAAGAAAGACAAAGCAGUUACUCAUUGUUCCUAAGAGAAGUCACAUCAAGCCCUGUAUGUCCUGUUAGACAACAAAGGAGCAGGCGAUGCCUUAAAAACCACUGAGAACUUUGUGCACCCAGACUAGGGCUCACUGUAGGGCUAAGCCUCUGCCUAUGGACCCUGCUCAGAUGAGCUCAUAAAACUAUAACUGGCGCCGCAACAGCCCGUGACUUCCAUCCCUGAGGAAAGCAGUAAAUGGAGUCAGAACGUUUCGCUUGGAUGCAAUCCAUGAUUGGUGUGGGUCUGCUCCUGGUCCCAUCGAGAUUAUUUUGGGUCAGAGUGCAGAAUGUAGAGCACACUGCAAAGGGAAAACCACACCAUGUCCCGAGCUGCACCACCUCCACCUACCUUACCAACAGAGUGAAGAACAAGAAAAAAGAAAACAUGACUAAGACAGCCCAAUCCUUUGUCAGUCUCUUGGUGAAACAACUGUCAUACUGAAUUUUGGGGAGCAGCCAGAACAAGAGAGGAGAGAGUCGUACUUGAUUUUGGAAACAUGACUGUGAGCCCCUGAGCCUGGGCUUCCAGAACUGCAUAGCACACACGGCCGCCACUGAAGAACACCACAUUGGCAGAACCAAUGGUAUCAGCCAGGCCCAGGACCCCCAGAACCUGGUCCCUAGGACAGCAGAGCAAUCAAGGGAAGGGAUUCCGCUGCAACCCAGCAGCUGGUCACAAAUUGAAAGUGGAGCAAGCAGCACAAUCAAAGGAAAAGUAGCUUCCAGAUCUCUCUGCCAGGACUGAGGUCGCCCACGGAAAACCCUGGAGGAGGAGAGACUGAGGGAGGAGGGCACAUGGAGGGCGGAAGCGAGGCAUCUCAGGACCUACUGCAGGUCCCCAAGUCCAGUCCCAGUGAUGACGCUGCCUCACUCUCCUUCAGCUUUUUGGGGAUACCACGUACAUCGCCCUUCUGGGCCCCAGGGUCAAGCUGAUGCUGCGUCUACGGAGCUGUGUUUCCGCGCAGCAUGUGGGCCUUCCAAACCUCGUCGGACUGCUCAGCCUUGUUCCUUACCCUCCCCCACCCGAGCGGGCAAAUUAGCGAAAGUGAAGCAAACAGGACGGCAAUGUUCUCUCAGGUCCCUUCCAGAACCAAAACCCCAGAAUCUGAGUGCCAAGGAAAUUGCUCUACCAGAGCAGGGUUCCUCAUCACCCCAGCCCUGGAAUCUGGCUCUGCCAAGAUCCAGAUGAGGCCACCUGGGUGUUCAGCGCUCUCCUCCACCGGCCUCGCUUAUGGGCCCUCGGCAAGGUGAGCUCCACAUGCGUGGCCAGCCCCACUGGUCGGAGGCCAAGCCUGGGAGGUUUCUGAACGCGC
This 1519-nucleotide long non-coding RNA is filed under the name Heterocephalus glaber (naked mole-rat). RNAcentral describes it as "lncRNA (ENSHGLG00000047317.1)". The record is from RNAcentral. Lineage: Eukaryota; Metazoa; Chordata; Mammalia; Rodentia; Bathyergidae.